RNAcentral lists this unclassified non-coding RNA (310 nucleotides) under fungal sp. RNAcentral's name for it is "partial internal transcribed spacer region". The stretch from base 1 to 46 matches the Rfam family "Eukaryotic small subunit ribosomal RNA", at positions 1786 to 1831 of the family's 1831-position model. Lineage: Eukaryota; Fungi. The record is from RNAcentral.
AAGUCGUAACAAGGUUUCCGUAGGUGAACCUGCGGAAGGAUCAUUAACAAGAAGAAUUAUGGUUUACUGAAUGUUGGUUAGUGUGGAUGAUUGGGAAACUGAUUGUCCAUGCUUUCUGGCAUUCUUUUAUAUCAAACACUAAUGUGAAUAGGAAUAUGUGGCAAAAAUAAUGGAUGGAAUAACAACCAUUUUUUAUUAAACUCUUUAAACCUCAAACAAAAGAUAAACAAAAAUAAAAUCCAAUGUCAAUUGGAAAUAAAAAAAAGUAACAAAAUGAACAACUUUUAACAAUGGAUAUCUUGGUUCUCGC